The submitters of this non-coding RNA (93 nucleotides) gave its source as unclassified sequences. The record is from Rfam.
UGGUCGGGUGACUUUCCUUGGGAAGAAAGUCGAGAAUUGGCCUUCCUUAUCGUCUCAACUUUCCCCGCCGCUGGGAUCCCGACAGUGUGUGUG